Molecule: ribosomal RNA, 429 nt
Filed under: Gemmatimonadota bacterium
Lineage: Bacteria; Pseudomonadati; Gemmatimonadota
Description: Gemmatimonadetes bacterium partial 16S ribosomal RNA
Rfam family: Bacterial small subunit ribosomal RNA
Source: RNAcentral
UAGGGAAUCUUCGGCAAUGGACGAAAGUCUGACCGAGCAACGCAGCGUGAGUGAAGAAGGUUUUCGGAUCGUAAAACUCUGUUGUUAGAGAAGAACAAGGACGUUAGUAACUGAACGUCCCCUGACGGUAUCUAACCAGAAAGCCACGGCUAACUACGUGCCAGCAGCCGCGGUAAUACGUAGGUGGCAAGCGUUGUCCGGAUUUAUUGGGCGUAAAGCGAGCGCAGGCGGUUUCUUAAGUCUGAUGUGAAAGCCCCCGGCUCAACCGGGGAGGGUCAUUGGAAACUGGGAGACUUGAGUGCAGAAGAGGAGAGUGGAAUUCCAUGUGUAGCGGUGAAAUGCGUAGAUAUAUGGAGGAACACCAGUGGCGAAGGCGGCUCUCUGGUCUGUAACUGACGCUGAGGCUCGAAAGCGUGGGGAGCAAACAGG